Molecule: ribosomal RNA, 867 nt
Filed under: uncultured bacterium
Lineage: Bacteria
Description: bacterial SSU rRNA
Rfam family: Bacterial small subunit ribosomal RNA
Source: RNAcentral
CAUGAGAAACUUAUGAAAGCUAUAUGCGCCAAGAGAGAGCCUUGCGUUCCAUUAGCUAGUUGGGGGGGUAAUGGCCCACCAAGGCGACGAUGGAUAGCCGGCCUGAGAGGGUGAACGGCCACAAGGGGACUGAGACACGGCCCUUACUCCUACGGGAGGCAGCAGUGGGGAAUAUUGGACAAUGGGCCACAAGCCUGAUCCAGCAAUUCUGUGUGCACGAUGAAGGUCUUCGGAUUGUAAAGUGCUUUCAGUUGGGAAGAAGAAAGUGACGGUACCAACAGAAGAAGCGACGGCUAAAUACGUGCCAGCAGCCGCGGUAAUACGUAUGUCGCAAGCGUUAUCCGGAUUUAUUGGGCGUAAAGCGCGUCUAGGCGGAAAAAUAAGUCUGAUGUUAAAAUGCGGGGCUCAACUCCGUAUUGCGUUGGAAACUGUUUUUCUAGAGUACUGGAGAGGUGGGCGGAACUACAAGUGUAGAGGUGAAAUUCGUAGAUAUUUGUAGGAAUGCCGAUGGAGAAGUCAGCUCACUGGACAGAUACUGACGCUGAAGCGCGAAAGCGUGGGGAGAAAACAGGAUUAGAUCCCCUGGUAGUCCACGCCGUACCCGAAAAGGGGUAGGUGUUGGGGGUCGAACCUCAGCGCCCAAGCUAAACGCGAUAAAUGUUCCGCCUGGGGAGUAUGCACGCAAGUGUGAAACUCAAAAGAAUAGGACGGGGGCCCGCACAAGCGGUGGAGCAUGUGGUUUAUUUUGUCGCAACGCGAGAAACCUUACCAGCGUUUGACAUCCUAAGAAGUUUCCAGAGAAGGAUUCGUGCCGGCUUGCCGGAACUUAGUGACAGGUGGUGCGUGGCUGUCGUCUGCUCGUGUCGU